GAAAACACCACUAUGUCCCUGCUUCUAUAUCUGCCAUGUGUCUAAAAUAGGGGUAUUUGUUGUCCAAAAUUUACUUUUUCCAACCGAUGAUGUCACUUUGUUCCAUUACAACUACAUAAUUACUAAAUUUUGCCUUUGGUUGUCAGGAAUAAACAAAACGCUGAUGUCACGUAGCUCUUUUUGUUUCCAAAUCAACCAAAGCAAACCUAUUUUGAUGCUUUUUCACAUUUACUUCAUCAUAUCACUUUUAAUUUUCAAAACCCUUUCUCUUUCUUCAUCCACAAACUUUUUUCUUCUUUCUCUCUCUUCCUCCGUUCUUCUUCUUUGUACCACCUUCUUCUUCUUCUUCUUACAAAUUUGAAAGAAAAAUAUCUUCUGACACUCUUUCCCUCUCUCUCUCUCGUCCUUUCCUUCACUUUCUCUCUUCUUCCUCCUUCUCCCUCUUCUUCUUCCUUCUUCCUUCUUCCUACAUAUGCAAUUUGUAUUCUUUCCUGACACGGUUUGUUCUGUUGAGCGCUGAGGACGAUGAUGAACACGAUGAUGGUGAUGUUGAUGUUGUUGGGUUCGUGAUGAACGAUGUUGAACGAUUUUAGAUGAAUGAGUUGAGUUGGUUGAAGAUCUAUGAAGAUGAUGACGAAAGUUACGAAUCUGAAUCUCGGGUGAGAUCCGACCCUUCCACGGGAUUAGGGUUUCAGGAGAUCUCGGUCGCAAGUUCUUUUCCAAUAUGUUUUGUUUUCUGCAGGAACUUUUUGUGGUGGUUAUGCAGAUUGGUUAGCAGAAUUUUGUGGGAAGUGGCGGUUUGUCUUUUAAUUCUUAUGUUUGCUGAUAUUUGCAGAGGGUGAAGUCAAAGAAAGAGCAAAAAGAGCUGUAGCAGCUGCUAGCAAAUGGAGGGAAUACUCAUGGAAAGAAUUGUGUAUGAAGUGAUGGCUUCUUAUCGUAUUGGAAGUGAAUUUGAAUUGUGACAUGGAUAAGCAGUGACUUGGUUCUAAAAUUGCAUAUGUGUUGUGACUGUUUUGGAUUAUAUAAUUAUGCAGUAUGGAUGACUAUGACAGUUUCAUAAAUAUCGUAAUGGUUAAAAAGAGAGCUUGGAUACACGGUAUUAUGUAGAAAAGUUUGGUGCAUCAUAUCCAGAAGAGAUUGAGAGGAUUAAGAAAGAUAUAUAAUUCAAAAUGGCAUGAAAUCAGCAGGUCAUGUUUUGGUGAUGCAACAAAUUUUUCUCUACAAGAUAUGCUUGCAUGAUUAUUCACCUUGGCAUUGCAAUUUGGCGGGAUGGGUGGCGACGAUGUAGUGGGUGACGAUUUUGAUGACAGUGAUGAUGAAGAUAAGUAUGCUGUACAAAUUGUGUGAUGCAGCAAUGCAUGAUUAAGUAAUAGUACAAGAUUUUACGGUGAUAAUGCAUCAAAAUUAAACAUUAUAUAUAUAUAUAUAUAUAUAAUAUUGAAAGGGAUGUUAAUCUUGGGUGGAAUGAAGAUCUUACUCUUUCUGUUAUAGAUCUUAAUCACAUUGUUUCAAUCGUAAGUAAGUUAAUUGUUGCGCUGUAUCGGUUAGUCUUUCUUUAAUGAUUGAGUUGACUUGAACAUCAAGCUAUUUAGUACAAAAUGUUGUUAAACAGUGGCGCGCUAUAGUACUUUAGCAUAGCAAAAUAUGAAAAAAUUGUUGAUUGUCAAAUGUGUUUCAAAUUUUAACUUUAUCAAUUGGGUUUGUAUAUGAGCUUUUUGAUCAUUGUUUCUUGAAUAAUCAAUUGCAUGAUUCAUAGGAUGAACAGUAGAAGCUUAGAACAUGUGAAUUCAAAAAGGAUCUAUAAGAAUUCUUUUUCAAAUUUUGGAUUUUGAUGUUAAAAGCUGAAAAUUUGACUUUUGUUUCAGUCAUUUGACUUUUCUAGGAGAUUGAUUUCUGAACCCUUUAAAUUUCUUGUCAUAGGAGAAUUCUCGAUGUUUUGAUUCUGAUUGCAACUAAAUAUCAUAGAAAAAAAGCUUAAGAUAAAAGGGGAAAAAUGAUUUUAAAGGUUAGGAGCUUAUAGGGUAAUUGGGAAUUAGGUUAUUGCUAAAAGGCAAUGGAGGAAAUAUCUUCGAGUGUUGCAGUAUUGUUUAUGUUUAGAAAUUUGAUUCAGAAAGAUGUUGCAGUUACUACUCGUAUGGAGAUAACCGGGUUAAAGCUAAUGGCGAAUACUGCGGCGGCUUUGAUGUUAAAUCCUGCAGGUGGUUUGAAAACCGUCCUGAUGUUGGGCCGCAACAUCAGAUUAUGGUAUCUGCGGAUGUAAAGGAGAAUCAAGUUGGGGCAGCUGUUGUUUUAAAAAUGGUGAUUGAAUGUGAGAGUAAUUGGGGGCUUACAGUGAUUUUCUGAAAUUGGUUAUUUCAAUUUUGAAAAUGUUUAGAUUUCUGUUAUUUCAUAUUGAUUUUCUUUCAUUUGCUUUGUUCUUUUUGUUGAAUGAAACAGACUCCUUUCACUGCUGAUCUCUUGACAACAUCAGGAAUGCAGUUGGCUAUGUUAGUCCAACCUUUGGCGCUUUCACACCCAUCCGAGGAUCCCAUUCAAGUCCGUUGCUCACGUUGCAAGGCUUAUGUAAAUCCCUUUAUGAAAUUUAUUAAUCAGGGAAGACGCUUUAUCUGUAAUUUAUGAUAACAUUGAAGAAUAAUGUGGUGAAUGAUGGUCAUUACAUUUAUGAAAUUACAAUUGUCAUCUACAAUUACAAUUACAUUCAUGUUGGCCAUUACAAUUUCUAAUUCAGGUUUUCCGGUCCUU
Molecule: long non-coding RNA, 2742 nt
Organism: Vicia villosa (hairy vetch)
Lineage: Eukaryota; Viridiplantae; Streptophyta; Magnoliopsida; Fabales; Fabaceae
Exons: 8
Source: RefSeq, a predicted model, not a curated record